CAGCCACCGCGGGAAUACGAAGGGGGCUAGCGUUGCUCGGAAUUACUGGGCGUAAAGGGAGCGUAGGCGGAUGUUUAAGUCAGAGGUGAAAGCCCAGGGCUCAACCUUGGAACUGCCUUUGAUACUGGACAUCUUGAGUAUGGGAGAGGUAAGCGGAACUCCGAGUGUAGAGGUGAAAUUCGUAGAUAUUCGGAAGAACACCAGUGGCGAAGGCGGCUUACUGGCCCAUUACUGACGCUGAGGCUCGAAAGCGUGGGGAGCAAACAGGAUUAGAUACCCCGGUAGUCCCUGUCUCUUAUAC
RNAcentral lists this ribosomal RNA (301 nucleotides) under uncultured bacterium. Its description in RNAcentral is "partial 16S ribosomal RNA". It matches the Rfam family "Bacterial small subunit ribosomal RNA", at positions 509 to 807 of the family's 1533-position model. The record is from RNAcentral.